AAUGAAAUGACCGCCCCCAUCCCUUGAUAGGCAUUACACUGACUUACGGUUUACAUUUCCCAAAAAGUUUCCUGUUUUGAAAGCCCCUAUUAUGCAGAGAAAUCAGAAUGCAAUAAAGAAACUGAAAACAUCUUUCUUCUUUUCCAGGACUUCAAAUUUCUCUCUGAUUUUCUCAGUCCGGCUGUCACGCCCAUUCGUUUUCCAUCGUCUGUCUUGCGUGGCUCGGAACAUUGUCUUCCAGAUCUGUCAUGUAUGUUGGUGUUGCAUUUCUUUACUAUUGAAAGGGAGUCUCCCUCUAUGAUUAUUUCUGAAAAACCCAUUUCUGAGCUUGUUCUUAUUGCCCAUAAACACGCGAGUGCUUUUGCUGCAAACGCGGUACCCACCUCAGGAUGUUGGAUCGUCCGUGAAAAUAAGACUUUUCCUUGAUUGUUUUUAGCAACAAUUCCCGUUUCCGAUCUGGAAUUCCCCUCAACAAAGGCCGCGUCAAAAUUGAUUUUGAUUCUUCCUUCGCUUGGCGGUACCCAUCUCCUUACUCCUCUUCGGCUCUACAGUGCCACUCAGAGAACUCGUCCUCUAGUAGCGGAACAGCCGUUGAAAACCCGGGGCAGCCACGAAAGACGUGGUCAACAUUCUCGACAUCAAUCCUGCAUCUUGGACAUAAUAGAUUUGACACAAGUCGUUUAUAAUACAAAUCUGAAAAAGUAGGACCUCUACGUCCAUGAUCUUUCUGCCACUUAAACCUCGCAACAAUAUUUUCCAUCUCCCCGCAUAAGGAUUUUGGCAAUAAGAAACAUGCCAUAAAAUAUGUCGGUAUGGCUUGUAAAACUGAUUUUAUGAAUAUUUCCUUUCCCCCAUGGGAGAGAAAACGAGUACUCCACCCGUCAAUUUUCUUUUUCAUUCUAUCCUUCAAAUCUCUUGAAUGAGACAUUUAUUUCUUCCCACCACAUUUGGGAGGCCUAGGUAACUUUUUGGAUUAUUUGAGUAACGAACUACCGGUUGCAUUGCUAAUUGCGUCCUAAUCCCCUUAGGAAUAUUUGCAUUGUAAAAAAUUGUAGAUUUAUUUAGAUUAGCACAUGAGUGCAAAAAAUUGUAGAUUUAUCAAGAUUAACACAUUGGUUUGAA
Long non-coding RNA from Gossypium arboreum, 1122 nucleotides. RefSeq lists it as uncharacterized. Lineage: Eukaryota; Viridiplantae; Streptophyta; Magnoliopsida; Malvales; Malvaceae. The transcript has 4 exons. The record is from RefSeq and is a predicted model, not a curated record.